This 253-nucleotide ribosomal RNA is filed under the name uncultured bacterium. RNAcentral describes it as "partial 16S ribosomal RNA". It matches the Rfam family "Bacterial small subunit ribosomal RNA", at positions 524 to 776 of the family's 1533-position model. The record is from RNAcentral.
UACGGAGGGUGCAAGCGUUGUCCGGAAUUAUUGGGCGUAAAGAGCUCGUAGGUGGUCUGUUGCGUCCGCUGUGAAAACUCAGGGCUUAACCCUGAGCCUGCAGUGGAUACGGGCAGACUAGAGGUAGGUGGGGGAGAAUGGAAUUCCUGGUGUAGUGGUGAAAUGCGUAGAUAUCGGGAGGAACACCUGUGGCGAAAGCGGCGCACUGGACCAUAACUGACGCUGAUGCGCGAAAGCUAGGGGAGCAAACAGG